RNAcentral lists this ribosomal RNA (497 nucleotides) under uncultured bacterium. RNAcentral's name for it is "partial 16S ribosomal RNA". It matches the Rfam family "Bacterial small subunit ribosomal RNA", at positions 28 to 507 of the family's 1533-position model. The record is from RNAcentral.
GAUGAACGCUGGCGGCGUGCCUAAUACAUGCAAGUCGAGCGAACAGACGAGGAGCUUGCUCCUCUGACGUUAGCGGCGGACGUGUGAGUAACACGUGGAUAACCUACCUAUAAGACUGGGAUAACUUCGGGAAACCGGAGCUAAUACCGGAUAAUAUAUUGAACCGCAUGGUUCAAUAGUGAAAGACGGUUUUGCUGUCACUUAUAGAUGGAUCCGCGCCGCAUUAGCUAGUUGGUAAGGUAACGGCUUACCAAGGCAACGAUGCGUAGCCGACCUGAGAGGGUGAUCGGCCACACUGGAACUGAGACACGGUCCAGACUCCUACGGGAGGCGGCAGUAGGGAAUCUUCCGCAAUGGGCGAAAGCCUGACGGAGCAACGCCGCGUGAGUGAUGAAGGUCUUCGGAUCGUAAAACUCUGUUAUUAGGGAAGAACAAAUGUGUAAGUAACUAUGCACGUCUUGACGGUACCUAAUCAGAAAGCCACGGCUAACUACGUG